GCUAGGGUGGCGUAGUUGUUAGCGCAUCUGCCUAGCAAGCAGGAGACCCGGGUUCAAAUCCCAGCUCUAGUA
Molecule: non-coding RNA, 72 nt
Organism: Schistocerca piceifrons (Central American locust)
Lineage: Eukaryota; Metazoa; Arthropoda; Insecta; Orthoptera; Acrididae
Source: the annotation of a RefSeq genome assembly